UAUACGGUUCGGAAUCCUCU
RNAcentral lists this microRNA (20 nucleotides) under Drosophila pseudoobscura pseudoobscura. RNAcentral describes it as "mir-2563-RB". The record is from RNAcentral. Lineage: Eukaryota; Metazoa; Arthropoda; Insecta; Diptera; Drosophilidae.